UGGGGAAUAUUGGACAAUGGGGGCAACCCUGAUCCAGCCAUGCCGCGUGCGCGAUGAAGGCCUUAGGGUUGUAAAGCGCUUUCGCCCGCGACGAUGAUGACGGUAGCGGGAGAAGAAGCCCCGGCUGAGUCCGUGCCAGCAGCGGGGGUAAUACGGAGGGGGCGAGCGUUGUUCGGAAAGACUCGGCGUAAAGGGCGCGUAGGCGGCCGGUUUCGUCAGAUGUGAAAGCCCCGGGCUCAACCUGGGAGGUGCAUUUGAUACGGGUCGGCUUGAAUCCGGGAGAGGAUGGUGGAAGUCCCAGUGUAGAGGUGAAAUUCGUAGAUAUUGGGAAGAACACCGAUGGCGAAGGCAGCCAUCUGGCCCGGGAUUGACGCUGAGGCGCGAAAGCGUGGGGAGCAAACAGGAUUAGAUACCC
RNAcentral lists this ribosomal RNA (415 nucleotides) under uncultured prokaryote. Its description in RNAcentral is "bacterial SSU rRNA". It matches the Rfam family "Bacterial small subunit ribosomal RNA", at positions 355 to 787 of the family's 1533-position model. The record is from RNAcentral.